ACAAAAAUGGCAGAUAAGUGCAUUAGAUUUAGACUCUAAAUAUAAAGAUACUUCUUUUUUUUGUA
This 65-nucleotide transfer RNA is filed under the name Pomacea paludosa. RNAcentral's name for it is "tRNA-Leu". Lineage: Eukaryota; Metazoa; Mollusca; Gastropoda; Architaenioglossa; Ampullariidae. The record is from RNAcentral.